RNAcentral lists this ribosomal RNA (461 nucleotides) under uncultured bacterium. RNAcentral describes it as "bacterial SSU rRNA". It matches the Rfam family "Bacterial small subunit ribosomal RNA", at positions 28 to 524 of the family's 1533-position model. The record is from RNAcentral.
GAUGAACGCUGGCGGCGUGCCUAAUACAUGCAAGUCGAGCGGUAAGGCCUCUUCGGAGGUACACGAGCGGCGGACGGCUGAGUAACGCGUAGGAACGUACCCCAAAGUGAGGGAUAAGCAUUGGAAACAGUGUCUAAUACCGCAUGUGAUCUAAGGAUUAAAGCUCCGGCGCUUUGGGAACGGCCUGCGUAUGAUUAGUUUGUUGGUGGGGUAAUGGCCUACCAAGACGACGAUCAUUAGCUGGUCUGAGAGGAUGACCAGCCAGACUGGGACUGAGACACGGCCCAGACUCCUACGGGAGGCAGCAGUAGGGAAUUUUCCACAAUGGGCGCAAGCCUGAUGGAGCAACGCCGCGUGGAUGAAGAAGGUUUUUCGGAUUGUAAAGUCCUUUCGGCGGGGACGAUGAUGACGGUACCCGCAGAAGAAGCCCCGGCUAACUUCGUGCCAGCAGCCGCCGUAAU